GAUGAACGCUGGCGGCGUGCCUAAUACAUGCAAGUCGAGCGAACGGACGAGACGCUUGCUUCUCUGAUGUUAGCCGCGGACGGGUGAGUAACACGUGGAUCCCCUACCUAUAAGACUCGGAUCACUUCGGGAAACCGGACCUCAUACCGGCUAAUAUUUUGAACCGCAGAGCUCCAGAGUGCAAGACGGUCUUGCUGUCGCUGAUAGAUGGAUCCGCGCUGCAUUAGCUAGUUGGUAAGGUAACGGCUUACCAAGGCAACGAUGCAUAGCCGACCUGAGAGGGUGAUCGGCCACACUGGAACUGAGACACGGUCCAGACUCCUACGGGAGGCAGCAGUAGGGAAUCUUCCGCAAUGGGCGAAAGCCUGACGGAGCAACGCCGCGUGAGUGAUGAAGGUCUUCGGAUCGUAAAACUCUGUUAUUAGGGAAGAACAUAUGUGUAAGUAACUGUGCACAUCUUGACGGUACCUAAUCAGAAAGCCACGGCUAACUACGUG
This 497-nucleotide ribosomal RNA is filed under the name uncultured bacterium. RNAcentral describes it as "partial 16S ribosomal RNA". It matches the Rfam family "Bacterial small subunit ribosomal RNA", at positions 28 to 507 of the family's 1533-position model. The record is from RNAcentral.